Molecule: ribosomal RNA, 483 nt
Filed under: Triticum aestivum (bread wheat)
Lineage: Eukaryota; Viridiplantae; Streptophyta; Magnoliopsida; Poales; Poaceae
Description: partial small subunit ribosomal RNA
Source: RNAcentral
AUGCCACGUGCUGAUGGUCCUUUUAAGGUGUUAGAGAAAAUAAAUGAUAAUGCAUAUAAACUUGAGCUGCCUGCAGAUUUUGGGGUUAGUCCCACUUUUAAUAUUGCAGAUUUGAAGCCUUAUUUGGGUGAGGAAGAUGAGCUUCCGUCGAGGACGACUUCAUUUCAAGAAGGGGAGGAUGAUGAGGACAUCAAUACAAUUAUUACACCCACAGGCCCUGCUGCUAUACAUACUGGACCAAUUACUAGAGCUCGCGCACGCCAAUUAAAUUACCAGGUACUUUCGUUUCUUGCUAAUGAUUCUAAUGUUCAUGAGAAUAUGAUGCUGCCUAAAUUGGAUACAUUUGUUUUGCUUACAAAUGAAGGGCCUAGCUUUGAGAAGGAUGAACAUUGGAGCAAGAACAAGCAUGGAGAUGAUGGCAUGCGCAUGGGGAACAAGAACGGAGUUACAAGUGAUGAUUUCAGGACUUUGAAGCCACCAUAA